RNAcentral lists this long non-coding RNA (224 nucleotides) under Ictidomys tridecemlineatus (thirteen-lined ground squirrel). RNAcentral's name for it is "lncRNA (ENSSTOG00000032242.1)". Lineage: Eukaryota; Metazoa; Chordata; Mammalia; Rodentia; Sciuridae. The record is from RNAcentral.
UUUUCACGGAAAUGAUAAUCCACACCGCAGAAUCGGCGCAGAGGCAGCGUGUGCCAGUCCAGGUGUGGUGCGUCUAGGAGCUGGAGUUUUUCCCUCUGCACAGCUGCAGAGGGAGAACCCGGAGUCCUCAGUCAGCAGAUGGAUGUGAAUGAGGUCAUGGUCUCUGAAGCCCCCUAAUGCAUGCCAUUCUUCUGAAGAACAGCUCACGAGCCUUGUUCUCCCAG